GCGGGUGGAGCAGCUCGGUAGCUCGCUGGGCUCAUAACCCAGAGGUCGCAGGUUCAAAUCCUGCCCCCGCU
Molecule: transfer RNA, 71 nt
Filed under: Nocardioidaceae bacterium
Lineage: Bacteria; Bacillati; Actinomycetota; Actinomycetes; Propionibacteriales; Nocardioidaceae
Rfam family: tRNA
About the family: Transfer RNA (tRNA) molecules are approximately 80 nucleotides in length.
Source: Rfam by way of RNAcentral